Molecule: non-coding RNA, 90 nt
Organism: Phyllosticta capitalensis
Lineage: Eukaryota; Fungi; Ascomycota; Dothideomycetes; Botryosphaeriales; Phyllostictaceae
Source: the annotation of a GenBank genome assembly
GCCCGGCUAGCUCAAUCGGUAGAGCGUGAGACUCUUACCACUCCCAGCAGUGAUAUCUCAAGGCUGCGGGUUCGACCCCCGCGUUGGGCU